CAUGUGGCAGAGAGUGAUAAGGGCGCUGGAGGUGGGGGUGUGAGCAGGAGAAAAGCACAGUAUGGCAUCUCAGCUGAUCAUCAUGAACUUCAUGUAGUUACAGUACAUCAACCAAUACAAUUUUCUGCUUAUUCCUUCCGGAUUCCAGAUUUCCUGCUUAUUCCUUCCUGAUUCCAGGAAUCCUCCAACUGGGACUUCGGGGAAAAUUGGAAUUUUGCAACCCUAGGUGUGACCACCAUUUGACUCAUGCAGUUCAAAACAUCUCCUUCGCAUAGAGUUGAUCAGGCAGUUGAUUGUGGCCUGUGGAAUGUUGUCCCACUCCUCUUCAAUGGCUGUGCGAAGAAGCUGGAUAUUGGUGGGAACUGGAACACGCGGUCGAACACGUUGAUCCAGAGCUUCCCUAACAUGCUCAGUGGGUGAUAUAUCUUGUGAGUAUGCAGGGCCAUGGAAGAACUGGGACAUUUUCAGCUCCCAGGAAUUUCGUACAUGGGACAUGGGGCUGUGCAUUGUCAUGUUGAAACAUGAGGUGAUGGAUGGCACGGAUGAAU
This is a long non-coding RNA of Oncorhynchus tshawytscha (Chinook salmon), 548 nucleotides long. Lineage: Eukaryota; Metazoa; Chordata; Actinopteri; Salmoniformes; Salmonidae. The record is from Ensembl.